UGGAAAGAACCAGGAGGGAUCUAGUGGCCAGGAAGGAUCUGCUAGACUGGAUCUUGGGGGAUAGGGAUUAGGUUCACCUUCCUCAUUUCUGGCCCCAUCACAUUCCAGAACACUUUGUCACUGUUCCCUAGCUCUGUGAUGCAGGCCUGGAAGUCUAGGCUGGAGUUCUACUCUCUGUUCUCAGCUGCCUGAGUUAGUAGUAGUACACUUUAGAUGAGGGAGAACUUUGACUGGUUGCUUCUGCAUUUCAGUGAGUCCUUAGGCAUUGGUUCCACCUUUUAUUUUUUGUACAGAAUUGGCAUCUUUCUGUCUUGUUACUGAAUUCAGUGGUGUACAUAUUUAUGUCUGAAAAAAACAUUUGAAAAAAACAGAGACAUCAGUCAGUGAUUACAAUGCUCCCUACAUCCCUGAGAAAAUUAAAGUGCUGAGGACCACUUCUUGACACCUUCAAGUAGAUUUGUGAAUUGUACCCAGAGAAGCCACAUUCAUUUUCAACCUGCUCAGCCUGGGAGGUAGAUUCUCCUCCGUGUCAAACCCCUCAUCAGAUUCCCUUUCCUCAAAGGCCUGGUUGAAGAUAGGAGCACUCUUCCUAGACGUCAGGUUGUGAUCACAAACGGCUUCCAGCAUAAAACCACUUGUGUGGAGAACAAGGGUUUCUUGUCCUCCUCAUCGUCUUCCUCUUCUUCCGCCCUGAACAGACGCUUCUGCCCACUGGCCGUCGGUUUCAAGCUUGUGAGUCUCACUGUGGAGAGUGCUGGUCUAGUCCAGCCUACUUGGGAAGGUCUGAAAUGCUGAAGAUAGGACACAACCAUAGCCUUUUUGGGGGCUUGUUUUGUAAUCAUAUAUGAUCCAAGAAACCUCUGCUACAAACCAAUGGAAAGGAGACUGUAUAAUUAUGGAUGGUGUGACCUUCUUCAAACAGCCAUAUCCAGGAGCUCACCAAGGAUUUCCUUAGAUAAGGAAUCCCAAAGCAAUAUGAGACAUCAGAUCAGUCUUCCUCUUGGUCACCUCAACAAAAUCCAGAGCCAGUGUCAGCAGGUUUAGGUGGAACCGGUUUUGUGAGUAGUAUGCAGUAAUUUAAGUUUUCAUUUUUUGUUUUACCUGUAUGGAUAACGGAGCCAGAAACAUUUAUUGAAGUACUACUUUUCUCCUGCUAUUCUACAUUGCCACCUUUGUCAUAACUCAAGAAUCUACAGGUAACUGUCUGUUUCUGGAUUCUCUUACCAUUGGUCUAUUUGACUACCCAUGUGCAAUACCACAUUGUCUUUUAUUACUUUAUAGGAAGUUUUU
This is a long non-coding RNA of Zalophus californianus (California sea lion), 1290 nucleotides long. RefSeq lists it as uncharacterized. The record is from RefSeq and is a predicted model, not a curated record. The transcript is spliced from 4 exons. Lineage: Eukaryota; Metazoa; Chordata; Mammalia; Carnivora; Otariidae.